AGAAAGCAUAAAAGGAGAGCCCUCGCAGUGCACCACCCUUUUCCUGCACCGGUCGGCCUGCCUGGUCACGGCCGGACUGGACUACGUGCAUGGUGCGUGCUCCAGUCCGGCCGAGGCCUGGCUUUGCACUUCACCACAUUGUGAAGACUGGGCCGGCUAACGGCUUUUUCCGUUUCCUACACGCACAAGCAUCUGAGCAACGCACCCGUAUGCUCUCCCCCUGGGGUUCAGAUCGACACGCAAUUAGGAGGACCUACUUUCAUCGACGCCCCUCAUCCAAGCGAAGACAGCUAAACCUCUCUCAAGGACCGAGAUUGCCGAAUGGAGAACCCUUGGCUUGCCGACUCUACGCCGCCU
This is a long non-coding RNA of Dermacentor albipictus, 357 nucleotides long. RefSeq lists it as uncharacterized. The record is from RefSeq and is a predicted model, not a curated record. Lineage: Eukaryota; Metazoa; Arthropoda; Arachnida; Ixodida; Ixodidae.